GUGGAUGUAGCUCAGUUGGUAGAGCACCAGAUUGUGGUUCUGGGUGUCGUGGGUUCGAGACCCAUCUUCCACCCCA
RNAcentral lists this transfer RNA (76 nucleotides) under Candidatus Tidjanibacter faecipullorum. Its description in RNAcentral is "tRNA-His". It matches the Rfam family "tRNA". Rfam says of the family: Transfer RNA (tRNA) molecules are approximately 80 nucleotides in length. Lineage: Bacteria; Pseudomonadati; Bacteroidota; Bacteroidia; Bacteroidales; Rikenellaceae. The record is from RNAcentral.